This 253-nucleotide ribosomal RNA is filed under the name uncultured bacterium. RNAcentral's name for it is "partial 16S ribosomal RNA". It matches the Rfam family "Bacterial small subunit ribosomal RNA", at positions 524 to 776 of the family's 1533-position model. The record is from RNAcentral.
UACGGAGGGUGCAAGCGUUAUCCGGAUUCACUGGGUUUAAAGCGUGCGUAGGCGGUUCGUUAAGUCAGCUGUGAAAGCCCCGGGCUCAACCUGGGAACUGCGGUUGAAACUGGCGAACUAGAAUCUGGCAGAGGGGGGUGGAAUUCCACGUGUAGCAGUGAAAUGCGUAGAGAUGUGGAGGAACACCGAUGGCGAAGGCAGCCCCCUGGGCUGAGAUUGACGCUCAGGCACGAAAGCGUGGGGAGCAAACAGG